RNAcentral lists this transfer RNA (64 nucleotides) under Opisthotropis guangxiensis. RNAcentral's name for it is "tRNA-His". Lineage: Eukaryota; Metazoa; Chordata; Lepidosauria; Squamata; Natricidae. The record is from RNAcentral.
GUGUGUGUAGUUUAAAAAAAUAUCAUGCUGUGACCAUGAUGAUAGGAAACACUCCUCACACACC